RNA transcript from Vespa velutina, 6255 nucleotides. It is a transcript of the gene named chromosome-associated kinesin KIF4, with no coding region annotated. The transcript has 4 exons. Lineage: Eukaryota; Metazoa; Arthropoda; Insecta; Hymenoptera; Vespidae. The record is from RefSeq and is a predicted model, not a curated record.
AUGAUCGUUAACGUAAACAUUCUAAAUAUACACCUAGGCAAGGCCAAUAGGUGGCAAUUCAAGAAUAAGAUUAAUCGUGGCCAACAACAAUAUAAUCAAGAACACCUGCAGCAGCAACAACAUACUCAACAAUCAUUCUACAAUUCCAAGCUUGUCUUUGAACAAGACUCGAGCAACUCCACGUUACCAUCAUCAAACACAUCAUUUAUCCUGACAUCAUCGAAUUUUGCACGUGGUGGACUUCCAGGAGAAUCUUACAACAAUUCCGCUGUGACAUUGAUACCUCAAACCCCAUAUGUCAAGCCAUCGGACACACAAACCUUUUGUUUGCUCCAAGAUCGACAAAAAUCUCAGCUAGUUCAACGUCAACAACCAUCGACUCAUAAUUCUUAUUACAAUAUAUCUUCAGCAAAUGCUUGCAGUUUGCAAACGAUGAAUCCAAAUGCAUUUCAAUUAGCAAACGUCAAUCCAUAUACUACUGUAACAUCUUUCACGAAUAAUCAGAUUAUAGGACCGAUACAAACGGUACAAGCUACACAAAUAUUUCCAAAUUCACAAAUAGAUUUAUUAUUUGCUGGUCAAUUACGUGAAAAAUUGUCAGAAACUAAUAUUGAUAAUACUUUUUCAAAAUACUCGAAAGAUAAGUUACCGAUCGUCGGUAACACAAUUCCCAUCAAUUCGAUUGAUAAAACAAAUAAUCACGGAGACUGGUCGGUACAUGAAAACAAAGCAACUUCAGUGAAUAAUUUCGAGUCAAAUUCAAAAGACUCAUCUGUUCCACGGACGGUGGAGAAUCGAAUAGUUGAGAAGAUACAAGAAGAAGGUGCUUGCUCAGACGAAUCUUCGGCAAGUUUCGAAUUCACUCUCGAAGCUGAAAAAAUGGUCUCGGCAUUGUGCAACACUACAUCAUCAAACGAUCUCAGCAAAGAAGAAUCACGUAAUGGAACAAAAUCUGAAGCUAUAGUGUUUUUCGAUGGAGCUGGUGAUAAUCCAUCGAACAAAAACAACUGGUUCACUAAUUUUUGCACGGAUGAAAGUAAUAAAAGUGAGAAUAGUAAAUCUAUAGCCGUUCAAACGGAUGGUCCAUGUACAGACAGAUUACAAUAUCCAGAACUAAUUCGAAAAACGGCUUAUUGGGGUUGCACCAAAGCCGAGAUUGUCCUCAAUUCAGAAACUUUGGAAAACAAUGGAAAGUGCGAUCGUUUGAUAAAUUUGUCUUCGGCUACUAGAACAGCUAUCACAAAAUCUUCAACUUGCUUUCCAAUAUUCGCUGGCGAUCGUAUCUUUGCUAAAGACUUGAUAAAAGCUUUGUUACGGGUUAGCAACGGCUGGCUCAUUCUCGACAAUUAUUUGAACAAACAGCAUUAUCCCAGCCUAGCUGAAAAAUUAGAUGAUGAGUUACUUCGAUGUUUUCAAAGAUGGGAAGAAAGUACUUACGAAUUGCUUCGGCAGAUCGUAGAAACUUUUUUAAGAUUGGAAGAGAAUAGUCGCAUAUCUCCUGAUAAAGGCGAAAGACUUGUUGAGACGUCCAUGACAUCUUUUCCAGGAGACGUAACUUUAUAUACGUCGAUUGAUCUCUUUGACUGUUUAAAGAAUGAUUCUAAUCCUCAUCGAAAGGAAAAUAAAAAAGAAAUUUCGAAUGAAGAACAACGACCUACCUUAUCGACCGAUGGUACGCAAAAAACUUAUCGCAAAGAAACAAAAUUACGAAGUAAGUGGACAAUUACCGAAAAUUUAGUAUCUUCGAUAGGCAAUGAGAAAUCAUUAAAUCGUACAAAAAAUAACGUGCGAACAGGUAGCAGAUUUCGCAGCAAAAACGCUUCCUCGUUGUCCGGCAAAAUUGAUACAUCAGAACGAUCUCUUAACGCAGAGUUCUUUCAUUUGAAAAGCACCGUUAUGAAGAGAAAUCAUGAGAGUUCGAAAGAAUGGCUAUUGAAAGACAAAAAACAAGAGUUUUUUUUUGACGGCAGCAUUCCAUCACCAUGUAUGAAUACAGGAUUGGUUUACGGUAUUAAAAGACCAACUACAAAUAUGAAUUAUGAUCCUUCAAUAUUUGGAAAUACUUUAGCUAGAAAUUUCUACCCUGAUAAUGAUAAUGUUCCGAUAGCACACGUCGAUAGUAGAAUAAUGUACGAGAAUAAAUCGAAUAUCGGUGCUCCAGUUUAUAUUGGCAAAUCAUCAACUGAUCAACUCGAAUUAUCAGCUGUUCCAAGAAAUAGAAUGACGUUGUUAAGUCAAAUCGAACCGGAUAUACCAGAAAAGGAAUCCGAAGAGAUGACUGCUAAUCUCUCAGCUUGGUUCGCCAGCAUGAGAAAUACUAAUGGACAAGCCCAACAGCAGCAGCAACAACAUCAACAACAAGAACAACAGCAGCAACAACAACAACAACAUAUUACUCAACACCACUCGUUGUCUCAUCGAGGAGAAACUCUCUCUAGGAAGACGAUAGACUUUACCAGACAAUUACAAAUCGAUACGAAUCGACAACUUCAAACAUUAAGGAACAUGCAAAGUAUUCAAAGUGCACCUUGGAAUGCUGAACACAUUCUUGGCAAACGAUUAAAUGUUCACAAUCAAAUUCCUGAAGAAUACGACAGUUCGGAAGAUGUAAGAGUUUACAUGAAACCUGGUAGUUAUAAUGUACCGAAGAAAAGACAUCAGAGAAAGACUAAUAUACGACGUGCAGACAAUUUACGUGGUUCUGGGAAUAAUCAUAGGAAUGUGCAUUCAACUAGAAGAGAGAAAAUCCCUAGAGUAUUGGCAUCUUCGACACCAGUAACUCGAACUACAUUAAAUUCUACAACAACACAAAGUAUCUCGUUACACAAUUCACCGACCAUUUUAAAACGUGUUACCCCAAUCAAGGACAAUCUUGAACAAGACGUUACUUGGAAGGCAGCAUGUGCUUCUGCAGAAAUCCUAUUAGAAGUUCUCAACGUAAAGGAUACGGUAAAAGAGACGAUCGAUGAUGAUUCUGACGAUGAUGAUGACUCUGACGACGACGAAGAUACUAAAAUUGAGAAAGGAAGUGAUAAAGAAGAUCGUGAGUCAUUGAAAAAUUUGCAUCGUCAGAAACUAGCUCAACAUAAUCAAAUAAAAUCAAUGAAAAAACGUAAGGAUGUUGUAGAAAUCGAUGCAUCAAGUUACGAAGCAUCCGAAGAUGAUUCUGGAUCAACUAGUAAAUUAUCUCCACGUACGAACGUUCUCUUAAAUUCGCAAGAGAAUCGUAAUGCUAAAACUAACGUGAAAACUGAUUCAUGGCUUAUCAGAACUCUCAACAAUGCUAGUAUGAUGGGUAAACAGAGAAGAAGAAAAAAUGAAUUUACUAUAGUAGAAAGUUCAGAAUCCUCGAACAGUUCGAUGAUCGAAGAAGAACGAACAUGUUUGACUUCGAUAACAGCUGUUGGUUUGACUACAACAACGAUCACAGCUACUACAACGAUCAAAGAUCGAGAAGAAACGAUUACUUCCAGAGAAAUUGGUAUCACCGAUCGAGUGAACGAAAACGAUCUUUUAACUGAGAUCAAAAAGGAUACUGAAAAUACCGUAGGACGUGCUACUUAUUCGGAAACUGUACGCAGAUCGACAGGACUUUCUACCGGAUCGUCGUCUAACGUAAUACGAUCGGUAAAGAAGAAACCUGUUACCUCGAGUCCAUCUUUAAAUUAUACUACGAUCGUACCGAUCCCUGGACGUAAAUGUCAACGCAAAGAUUCUGAAAGAUCUUACCACUUGUUACAUAAAUCACGAAAACCCCCGAUUAAAAAGACAUCGAGAAUUAUAGACGAUAAUGAAGAUCGUAGAUCGGAAAAUGGAUCGUUCUCUUGUUCGAAAUCAAAAAUGGUAGGAAACGAAACGUCAUUUUCAUCGAUGAUCAAUUUAUCUUCUAAAUCUUCUGCAAAUAAAUCUUUGCAAUGUAAAAAGAAAGGAGAUAAUAGUGACACGAUCGAUAAUUUUGUUGAAACAAAAUAUGGAAAUAAAUCGAAUGAUCGAGGUUGGUCGAUUUGGUAUAGUUCAAGAAGAAAACAAAGCCUAAGUCCGCUUGCUUUGAGUAAAUUAGAAGCUAUUUAUCGAGCUCUUUGUCAAAUGGACGAAAUAAAAAUUUUUAAAUGUCCGCCCUCGAUCGAUAAUACCGAUCGAUCGCCCACUACAAUCGGAACGAUGGAAGAUUAUUGCAAAGCUAUUAAAAGUCCAUUGUUUCUCGAAACGGUCGAAUAUAAAAUUAAAAAUCGGAUUUAUCAUAAGAUCGAGCAUGCUGUUCGAGAUUUUCGAAGGAUUGUUCAUAAUUCGAAAAUUUAUUACAAGAAUGACACUGAUCGAGUGAAAAAGAUCGAGAAUUUAUCAAAGAAACUCGAAGAAUUAUUUGAAGAACACUUUACCAAUUGGGAUUUUGAAAAUAUUAAUGGUAGUCCGAGAGAAGAUUCGCCGAUACGUCCGAGAUUGAAAUCAACGAAUUCAAAUCAAAAAACACUUAUUGGGCGUUAUGGAAAUUCUAAGAGAAGUCCUUCAACUAUAACCAUUACAGAAAGCACGUCGCUUCGAUAACGAUACUUAACACUACCUCUCUUCUCUCUUUUGCUCUCCUACAUUGCCUCUUUCUGGUUUAUAAUUAAAUAACAUCAAGAAAAUAUUCUAUUAACAACGAAAAUAUUUUUUCAUUGAUUUAGGAUGAUGAUGAUGAUGAUGAUGAUGAUGAUGAUGAUGAUGAUUAUGAUGAUGAUGAUGAUGAUGAUGAUGAUGAUGAUGAUGAUGAUGAUGAUGAUUAUAGCUAUAGUAUUUACAAUAGAAUCGAAGUAAUAAUACGUGCUCUCUAGUCAUUAUAAACGAAUCACUGUUGAUAUUGUUAUUAAGUACGUUUUACGAAUUCAUUUGAUUGAAUCUCAAAUUUUCCCGCCUCCUCUAUAUAUUUUUCUUUCUUUUUUUGGCAUCCAAUUCUAAUCUAAUAUAUAUAUAUAUGAUCUAAUAUAUAUAUAUAUACACACACACAUACACCACGAAUGUUCAAAACCAUUCUAAGAUAUCAUAAAAUAGAAAGUUUUGGUUUCUUAAAUAUUAUUUAAUUUAUUAUUUUGAUACACAAUACUAACAAUUCUUUCAUAUAAUCUUAAUCAUCGUGCAAAGUGCAAAGUUUCGUUUGUUCUUUUUUAUAUCGAGAGUAUUAUUUCGAAAAAGUAUUACGUAAGUAAGAUUUCAUAAAGGAAUAUAACAAAAUAAUACAUUAUAUAAACCGAAUUGAAAAAAGAAAAAAUAAAUAAAAAUGUUGAUAUUGAAAUAUAUCGCAAUGAUUAACCGAUUCGAUGUUCUCAUUAUAUCGAAUUAAUAUAUAGAUAUAACAUCAAAUAUUUUUCGAACAUUCUUCAAAAUAAUCGAUUAAUUUAGUACAUACAUAUUUAGCAUUAAAUUUCUUCAAUUGUAGAUUAUACAUUUUAUGAACGAUAAAUGUAAUACGUCAUUAGAUUUGAUAAUAUCUCAUGAUAAUAUGUUAUUAUAUAUUCAACUACUUCGAAGAUUAUUUCAAAUUUGCCGCGCAAAUCUUCGUUGCUUCGUAUUUUUACGUAUAUAACCUAUGCAUCUUAUUUAAUUAAUAAUAAAAGACACGUCGAUUGAUAUUAAAUUCUUUCACAUGACAAAAAAGUUAGCAUGAACCUGUAAAACUUAGAACGUUGAUUACGAAAUGGCUAUUUUACGAUAUAUUUUAAUGAUUGUAUUAUAACGCGUGAUAUGCGACUUCGUCAGAAAUUAACUGUGCAUAACAACUGUAGAUAAAGAAAGAAAAGAAACAAGAGAAAAAUAAAAAACACAUUUUCAAAAAUUAUAAAAGAGAUGUAAUGAAAUUACUGGUGAAAAACAAUAUGACGUCGUCUCAUUACGAUGUUAUAUAACAUGUAAUUUGAAGUCAUUACAAUAACGAAAAAAUAUCUUUACUUUUAUAUCGUAAUAUCGAUAUACAUGUUCUUUUCUACGCUUUCUGAACAUUUAAUUAACUAACAUGAACGUUUUUAUUUACUGAUGUCGCAUCAAGGGUUGGUAAUACUAACUCUUAUACACAGAUCAGAACGUAGACAUCAGCGCCGUUCUAGAAAUGCAGUAAUAAUUUUUCUUCUCUUACAUGAAGUUGGCUAACCUACGCGAGUUGGAUUUUCAAAUCUCAAAUACGUAACGGUAAGCGUGCAACGUUACGAUCUUUUAAAAAAUAAUUAAAAAGAUAAAGGUAUAAAGUAAAAGUUUUGUAAAGAAUUAUUAAAUAAAUAAAGA